RNAcentral lists this ribosomal RNA (207 nucleotides) under uncultured bacterium. RNAcentral describes it as "partial 16S ribosomal RNA". It matches the Rfam family "Bacterial small subunit ribosomal RNA", at positions 568 to 774 of the family's 1533-position model. The record is from RNAcentral.
CGCGUAGGUGGUUGGGUAAGUCAAAUGUGAAAGCCCCGGGCUUAACCUGGGAAUUGCAUUCGAUACUGCUUAACUAGAGUGUGGGAGAGGGAAGUGGAAUUUCCGGUGUAGCGGUGAAAUGCGUAGAUAUCGGAAGGAACACCAGUGGCGAAGGCGACUUCCUGGCCCAACACUGACACUGAGGCGCGAAAGCGUGGGGAGCAAACA